This 433-nucleotide ribosomal RNA is filed under the name uncultured bacterium. RNAcentral describes it as "partial 16S ribosomal RNA". It matches the Rfam family "Bacterial small subunit ribosomal RNA", at positions 29 to 507 of the family's 1533-position model. The record is from RNAcentral.
AGCGAACGCUGGCGGCAUGCCUAACACAUGCAAGUCGAACGAGACCUUCGGGUCUAGUGGCGCACGGGUGCGUAACGCGUGGGAACCUGCCCUUAGGUUCGGAAUAACUCCCCGAAAGGGGUGCUAAUACCGGAUAAUGUCUUCGGACCAAAGAUUUAUCGCCUUUGGAUGGGCCCGCGUUGGAUUAGCUAGUUGGUAGGGUAAAAGCCUACCAAGGCGACGAUCCAUAGCUGGUCUGAGAGGAUGAUCAGCCACACUGGGACUGAGACACGGCCCAGACUCCUACGGGAGGCAGCAGUGGGGAAUAUUGGACAAUGGGCGAAAGCUUGAUCCAGCAAUGCCGCGUGAGUGAUGAAGGCCUUAGGGUUGUAAAGCUCUUUUACCCGGGAUGAUAAUGACAGUACCGGGAGAAUAAGCUCCGGCUAACUCCGUG